GCCAAACCAUUGUAUACAGAUACAAUUCCCUGAAGGAAUAUCAUGAAUGAACCUGUCAAUGCAAACAGUCCACAGAAAAUGAAAUGGUUUGAACGACAAUAGUUCACAGCAACGGUUUAAAAUCAAUUUUCAGCAAUGACUGUGCUAGCCAACAGUCCACACAGCACACCUAGGAAAUCGCAAUUUGUGGUAACAGAUUAAAGUUCUCCAGGGCCAUAAAAUGGUUGAUUAGCUGGCACCAUGCAAGAAACUGCCUUUAGCAAACAGUUUUGAUUGACAUGUAAAUUUUCCAGGCUACAUUGAAAACACUAGCCAAGUCAAAAGAAGUGCAAGGGGAAAC
RNAcentral lists this long non-coding RNA (340 nucleotides) under Eucalyptus grandis. RNAcentral describes it as "long non-coding RNA (EGRA_LNC003090)". Lineage: Eukaryota; Viridiplantae; Streptophyta; Magnoliopsida; Myrtales; Myrtaceae. The record is from RNAcentral.